GAUGAAGAACGCAGUGAAAUGCGAUACGUAAUGUGAAUUGCAGAAUUCAGUGAAUCAUCGAGUCUUUGAACGCACAUUGCGCCCCCUGGUAUUCCGGGGGGCAUGCCUGUCCGAGCGUCAUUGCUGCCCUCAAGCACGGCUUGUGUGUUGGGCCUCCGUCCUCCUCCCGGGGGACGGGCCCGAAAGGCAGCGGCGGCACCGCGUCCGGUCCUCGAGCGUAUGGGGCUUCGUCACCCGCUCUUGUAGGCCCGGCCGGCGCUUGCCGACACAUCAAUCUUUUUUCCAGGUUGACCUCGGAUCAGGUAGGGAUACCUGCUGAACUUAAGCAUAUCAAUAAGCGGAGGA
This 345-nucleotide unclassified non-coding RNA is filed under the name soil metagenome. Its description in RNAcentral is "partial contains 5.8S ribosomal RNA, internal transcribed spacer 2, and large subunit ribosomal RNA". The stretch from base 1 to 120 matches the Rfam family "5.8S ribosomal RNA", at positions 35 to 154 of the family's 154-position model. The record is from RNAcentral.